This is a long non-coding RNA of Loxodonta africana (African savanna elephant), 4133 nucleotides long. RefSeq lists it as uncharacterized. Lineage: Eukaryota; Metazoa; Chordata; Mammalia; Proboscidea; Elephantidae. The transcript is spliced from 6 exons. The record is from RefSeq and is a predicted model, not a curated record.
AGAUGUGCUUUUUAAUAUCGUUUCUUAGUGAAUAUUGUGCCUUGCGUUCUGAAUCUAAGUAGUAUGAAUUCUCAUUUCCUAAGUGAAUUUUAUGUUUAGGCUGGUGCUGAAGGUGUGUAUCAUUUGGUAGCAGAAGGGGUCUACUUGGUGCUGACAUCAUCUCAGGACAUGAUACUUUGAAAAACUGUUCAGUCAAUCUUAUGCCUUUUAUUUCAAAUUGUAGGACUGCGCUGUCCAGUACAGCCACUAGCCGGAAAACAAAAACAAACAAAAAAAAAACCUGUUGCCGUGGAGUCCAUUCCGACUCAUAGUGACCCUGUAGGACAGAGGAGAACUGCCCCCAUAAGGUUUCCACGGAGCAGCUAGUGAAUUCGAACUGCGGAUCUUUUGAAAAAGCAGCUCAGCUAAGAUGAAUUAUUUGGAGGAAAGCAGGAUGAGGUCUGAAUAAGUACAGGGAAAUUUUGGAUUGGGAAUGGUGAAGUUCAGAAGGAACCUACUUUCUUCAUAAACAUGGUGAUCACUACAGAGACUAUUUUGCAUGUUCUCGUGAAUUACUGGAGUCCUGGUGCCGUAGUGGUUAAGAACCCAGCUGCUAACCAGAAGGUCGGCAGUUUGAAUCUACCAGCCACUCCUUGGAAACGCUGUGAGGCAGUUCUGCUCUGUCCUGUUGGGUCCUUAUGAGUCGGAAUCGACUCGGCAGCCUCAAGUUUCAGGACUUGUGGAAUUAAAGAGAGAGAUGCCUGAAAACUAGAGACAGAGAAGUGUAUUUUUUAGAAAGGGGAAGAAGGAAGACUGUAGAGCUUGAUAUGGCCCUCAGGAUUUGUUUUCAGGAGGAAAGGAAGACAUCUCAGGAUCCCAUUUUGAGGGUCUUUUGGCUACAUAUUCACUGUCAGAACAUUUUCUCCAAGAGUCCUGGGCCAGACACCUGGAUUUCCAGAUGGGUUUUGUAGUCAAGGAGAUUUUAGAGAGGGGAGGUGUUUCAGUUACGUAGAAAAGUUCAGUUAUCUAAAGAAUUUAUUUUAUAAAAUACCACAAAACUUUGUGACUUAAAACAACAGCAAUUUAUUAUUUUUCAUGAUUUUGUGGACUGACUAGUAUCGACUGAGUGGUUUUGUUCCACAUGGUAUAGCUGAGGUCACUCAUGGGCUACAUUUAGCUGGAAGCCUGGCUUGGACUAGGACAUCUAAGAUGGCCUCUCAUCCUCUAAUACCUCUCACCAUUCGGUAAUCUAGCCCAAGUUUCUUCACACCAUGGCAUUUAGCUUCCAAGAAGGAACAUUUCAAGAGGACAAGCCCCAAUAUGCAAGCACUAACGAAGCCUCUGCUGGCAUCAUUUUGCUAAUGUCUCAUUGGCCAAAGCAAAUCACAUGAUCAAGUCCAGAGUCAGUGUGGGAGGGGGCUACACAAGGGUGCAAACACCAGGAGGUUUUGUUCACUGGAGACCACCACUAUAACAAUUUACCACAAGUGAGCAGGGCAGUUUUGCACACUGGGUCUCCUCAGUUGUCAGUGCUUAGGUAUGGAUGCGUAACCUAAGAUUUGGUCCUUGACUUUGAAAUUCCAGAAACUCUGUGUGAUUAGGGGUUCAUGCUUAGCCCCAUGCCUUUAUCUGAAAUUGUCUCUCAUCAUCACUCGAAGAUGUGAAUUUAGGUUGUCGUAGUUUUAUCUCAAGACUCUGUCUUGGCCACAGGUGGUUGAACCAGAGUGGACACCUGACCUAUGACUCUGUUGGCUGAGCUGGCCCAAUUGGACUUUCUCCUAUGACUUUUGAAUGGGAAUACUGAGAGACUAAGACCCAAACUGGUGAAGAGAUUAUAGAAGAUCUCCUAGAUACUCUAAAAUGAGUUUGGAAGAAUAUCUAAACUCCUGAGAUGACUAGAAAAUGAGACUGCUAAACCAUAGUUAUUAAGAGAUUGGCUGCUAACCAAAAGGUUGGCAGUUUGAAUCCACCAGCUGCUUCUUGGAGACCCUAUGGGCAGUUCUACUUUGUCCUAUAGGGUCGCUAUGAGUUGGAAUCAACUUGAUGGCAACAGGUAUUCACUAGUGGAUAUAUGUUUUUGCUCAUUAUGCUCCAUGACAAUAUCUAGCUGCAAGGGAGGCUGGGAAAUGUAAUCUCUAGCUGAGUAGCCAUGCACCCAACUACUAUGGAAGAAGGAGAAAAUGUAUUUUAGUGAACACUUAGUUGCUGCCUCCUUCCCCCCAACCCCUUCCCCACACAACAUAGUGUUCAAUUCAUGGUUACCUUUCAGAAGGGAGAAAGACAAGAGUGUAUUUCGAGGGAGUAAACAGGAUGAUGAAGGCCUCAAAAUCAGGUCAUAAGCAGAUUGGUUGAAAACUUGGGGAUUGUUAUAGUGAAUAUUUAGAAAAUGAAAUGGCUGCCUUUGAAUGUUGUACGUGCAAAAAGAGGUAAAGGUUAUUCUCUAAAGGCUCCAGGAGUAAAUAUAAUAAGAGGAAGCUAACCAGUAACCAGUUGCCAUCAAGUCAGUUCUUGACUCAUGGCUCAGAGAAAUGUAUUUAUGUUCAUUAAAAGAAAAGAAGAUUCUAGCAGAGUUGUCCAGAAUGAUUUACACCUCAGGUACGUUGUGAACUAGAAGAGACCAAAAACAACAACAAAAAAAAUCAUUUAUUGAGUACCUAUUAUGUGCUCAGCACUAUUGAGGCACUUUCACAGAUUUGUUGCUUCCAACUCUGAGAGUCUGUUGCAACUCCACAUACUUUUCUCCAAACCCUAUUUUUUGUGACUUACUGACAAGCCUGCAAAGAACAUACAUGAGUUAAAUUUGUGGGGUAGAACAUCCUAUGGGGGGAGACCCUGGAGGGUGUUGUGUAUGUUCAAUGUUGUGGGUUCUGUGGUGGAUGGAGAAAGUUGGCCAGGGUGGGGAAAGAAGUUAUUUUCUGAUUCUCAGCAGAAACCUGAGAUCUUCCAGAAGGGGUUAUAUCGUCCUGACCAGCAUAACUUUGUGGUGGCCCUCAUGUCUGCCGUGUUACCACAUUGGUGAGCCUAGAGAAUGCUGCCAAGAAGUGUGAGAGGGCUGCUCUGAAAGCUCAAAUGUCCAGUGUCUUCCACACACCUUUUGUAGGUACUAGUGGGAGACAAGAUGCCUUUCCUGAUAUGAGUUCCAGGUUCUUUACUGGAGUCUACAAGAGUGCUUUGUUAUUCCUUGUACUUCUGGAUCCAAAGUUCUAAGGGAACGGAGGGGCCCCCAAAUCUGCAAUUCACAUGAACAAAUUAAAGGGACAGAGUAACAGGAAAUGGGCCAGGGCGCAGAAACAAAGACAUUCCCCAGAACAAUGGGGCAGGGUAUCAGAAACUAGCCCACAAACUUCUUUAAAGUUGUCUCUCAGAAGCAACCGGAUGAAAUGAGCCCCAGAAACAUGCGUAGAACAUCCACCUGUGACCGCUGUGUGACCUUUCACCAGGGGCAGUGAAGGGCUGCAGCCGCAGCUGGGGAAUCAAACUCAGGGAGUGAGAAACUGCACAGUCAUGACACCCCAUAAGUCCUACUAUGAAUCCCAGAGGCCUAUGGGACAGGAGCCAUCUUAGAAAGCAGCUGCACGUGCACCUUAGGUAGCCUAUCCCCACCCAAAACGGGCUAGUUGUCGGAAAAUCCCGCCUAUGCCCCUGAAUAAACAUGAAUCUUUUUUCCGCUCAAGUAUUUUUUUAAAAUAAUUUUUACUGUGCUUUAAGUGAAAGUUUACAAAUCAAGUCAGUCUUUCACAUGUAAGCUUAUAUACACCUUACUCCAUACUCCCACUUACUGUCCCCGAGUCAGCUCACUCCCUCCUUCCAGCCUCUGCUUUCGUGAUGGUUUUGUCAGUUUCUAACCCUCUCUACCCUCCUAUCUCCCCUCCAGACAGGAGAUGCCAUCACAGUCUCAAGUGUCCACCUGAUACCAGUAGCUCACUCUUCAUCAGCAUCUCUUUCCAACCCAUUGUCCAGUCACUUCCAUGUCUGAUGAGUUGUCUUCAGGAAUGGUUCCUGUCCUGGGCCAACAGAAGGUUUGAGGACCAUGACUGCCGGGAUUCUUCUAGUCUCAGGCCAUUAAGUCUGGUCGUUUUAUGAGAAUUUGGGGUCUGCAUCCCACUGUUCUCGUGCUCCCUCAGGGGUUCUCUGUUGUGCUCCCUGUCAGGGCA